This 408-nucleotide long non-coding RNA is filed under the name Equus caballus (horse). RNAcentral's name for it is "lncRNA (ENSECAG00000046485.1)". Lineage: Eukaryota; Metazoa; Chordata; Mammalia; Perissodactyla; Equidae. The record is from RNAcentral.
GCAACAGGCACUUAUGUGACGUCGGAAAGCGGAGGAGCAGAAGCUGUUCUCCCAGGGCAGUGACAGAUAGAUGUGUGAGCCGACAGGAGACAUGAGCUUCACAGUGCUUCUGGAUGAGUUCCAGCAGGUUACCUUCUUUGGUCCUCUAGACAAUUGAGAUGGCUAGUGGUGGCUGCUUGAAAUUAUUUGUUUGGUGCUGCGAGCUUAUACAGCUGGGAGCUGUGAGAGGGGUGGAGGAAGAGAUUAUUGCCUGAUGAUGAACUUUGAGAGACUGCUUUUGAGUUUUCUUACUUUAUUGCUGUGUUACAAACUGUCAGAUACUACUCGUUGUGUUACAAAGUUAACAAUGAAAAUGUUAUUGUCUGGUCUAUUCAAUUCACCUACUAAUAGAAUAAAAAUUAUUGCAGA